GUGUUGCCUGCAAGGGCGUAUGGUGGAUGCCUUGGCAGACAGGACCGAUGAAGGACGUUUGAGGCUGCGAUAUGCCUCGGGGAGCCGCCAACAGGGCUUUGAUCCGAGGAUUUCCGAAUGGGGGAACCCACCGGCCGUCAUGGGCCGGUACCGCCGUGUGCGGGGGGUACGCAGGGAAGUGAAACAUCUCAGUACCUGCAGGAAAGGAUAUUCCGUGAGUAGUGGCGAGCGAAAGCGGAUCAGGCCAAACCUUGCGCGUGUGAUACCCGUCGGGGGUUGCGCGCGGGGUGUAGAGGGAUCGCGUUUGCCGGCUCCGACGGGCCGGCCGUCAGUUGCAUAAAACCAUGUGCCAGGGGAACCGGGUUGAAUACCGGGCCGCAGAGGGUGAGGGCCCCGUACCCGAACGCGCAUGGUCUGGCGAUCGCGUCUCCCAAGUAGCACGGGCCCCGUGGAAUCCCGUGCGAAUCUGUCCCGACCGUGGGAUAAGCCUAAAUAUUCCUGUCUGACCGAUAGCGAACGAGUACCGUGAGGGAAAGGUGAAAAGUACCCCGGGAGGGGAGUGAAACAGUCUCUGAAACCAUGCGCCUACGAACCGUCGGGGCCCUCUUGUGGGGUGACGGCGUGCCUAUCGAAAAAUGAGUCUGCGAGUCAGUGGCAUGUGGCGAGCAUAACCCGUGUGGGGUAUGCGUAGCGAAGGCGAGUCUUAAAAGGCGUUUGAGUCGCGUGUCCUGGACCCGAAGCGGGAUGAUCUAGCCCUGAGCAGGUUGAAGCGCGGGUAAGACCGUGUGGAGGACCGAACCCACCUGGGUUGAAAACCGGGGGGAUGACUUGGGGCUAGGGGUGAAAGGCCAAUCAAAUUCCGUGAUAGCUGGUUCUCUCCGAAAUGCAUUUAGGUGCAGCGUCGGAUCGAUUACAUCCGGGGGGUAGAGCGACUGGAUGCUUGCGGGCCCAUAUCGGGUACCAACAGCAACCAAACUCCGAAUACCCGUGAUGCGUAUCCCGGCAGUGAGUCGGCGGGGGAUAAGCUCCGUCGUCGAAAGGGAAACAGCCCAGAUCGUCGUCUAAGGUCCCCAAGCGUGUGCUAAGUGGGAAAGGAUGUGGAGUCGCAUAGACAGCCAGGAGGUUGGCUCAGAAGCAGCCACCCUUGAAAGAGUGCGUAACAGCUCACUGGUCUAGUGGUUCCGCGCCGACAAUGUAGCGGGGCUCAAGCACACCACCGAAGACGCGGCAGUAGCUUUGCUACUGGGUAGGAGAGCGUCCCAUGCGGGGCGAAGCGGCGGCGCAAGCCCGCCGUGGACCGCAUGGGAGUGAGAAUGCAGACAUGAGUAGCGAAAGACGGGUGAAGAUCCCGUCCGCUGGACGACCAAGGGUUCCAGGGCCACGUUCAUCGUCCCUGGGUGAGUCGGGUCCUAAGGCGAGGCCGACAGGCGUAGUCGAAUGGACGAACGGGUCGAUAUUCCCGUACCGGCAUGCAACCGGCAAAACCGAAUCCGCGAGUACUAACUUCCGGGUCCGGGCUCACGUCUCCUUCGGGAGCCGGAUGCCCUGGCCUGUUGGGACCGUAACGGUAGUAGGUCAGCGCGGGAGUGACGCAGAAGGGUAGCCGGCCGCGGAGGUGGUCUUCCGUGGUCAAGCACGCAGCCCGUCCCACAGGCAAAUCCGUGGGGCGCGUGGGCGAGGUGCGAUGAUGGGCGCCGCAGGGCGCGAUAUCCGGUGAUCCCGGCUGCCGAGAAAAGCUUCGGCGUGAGGCGGCAUGCCGCCCGUACCCCAAACCGACACUGGUGGUCAGGUAGAGAAUACCAAAGCGAUCGAGCGAAUCCUGGUCAAGGAACUCGGCAAAUCACUCCCGUUCCUUCGGUUUAAGGGAGACCCCCGAUGGUGAAGCGGCUUGCCCGCGGAGCUUUUGGGGGUGGCACAGACCAGGGGGUAGCGACUGUUUACCAAAAACACAGGAGCGUGCGAAGGCGCAAGCCGCUGUAUACGCUCUGACGCCUGCCCGGUGCCGGAAGGUUAAGAGGAUCCGUCAGGCCUCGGCCGAAGCGGUGAAUUCAAGCCCCGGUAAACGGCGGUGGUAACUAUAACCAUCCUAAGGUAGCGAAAUUCCUUGUCGGGUAAGUUCCGACCUGCACGAAUGGCGUAACGACUUCCCCACUGUCUCGACCAGGAGCUCGGCGAAAUUGCAGUACGAGUAAAGAUGCUCGUUAAGCGCAGAAGGACGAAAAGACCCCGGGACCUUUACUAUACCUUGGUAUUGGCAUUCGGUGUGGAUUGUGUAGCAUAGGCGGAAGGCUUCGAAGCCACGGCGCCAGCCGCGGUGGAGCCGCAAGGUGAAAUACCGCUCUGUUCGCAUUGGAUGUCUAACCUCGACCAGUCAUCCUGGUCAGGGACAGUGCCUGGCGGGUAGUUUAACUGGGGCGGUUGCCUCCCAAAGAGUAACGGAGGCGCUCAAAGGUUCCCUCAGCCCGGUUGGCAAUCGGGUGGCGAGUGUAAGUGCACAAGGGAGCUUGACUGCGAGACUGACGGGUCGAGCAGGGACGAAAGUCGGAACUAGUGAUCCGGUGCCGGUGUACGGACGCGGCAUCGCUCAACGGAUAAAAGGUACCCCGGGGAUAACAGGCUGAUCAUUCCCAAGAGUCCAUAUCGACGGGAUGGUUUGGCACCUCGAUGUCGGCUCGUCGCAUCCUGGGGCUGGAGCAGGUCCCAAGGGUUCGGCUGUUCGCCGAUUAAAGCGGCACGCGAGCUGGGUUCAGAACGUCGUGAGACAGUUUGGUCUCUAUCCUCUGCGCUCGUCGGAAUGUUGAGGAGGCCUGCCCAUAGUACGAGAGGACCUGGGUGGACGAACCUCUGGUAUGCCGGUUGUCACGCCAGUGGCACGGCCGGUUGGCUACGUUCGGAAGGGAUAACCGCUGAAAGCAUCUAAGCGGGAAGCCUGCUCCAAGAUAAGCAUUCCAUAGGACUACGGGUCCUUGAAGUCCCCAUGCAGAACACGUGGUUGAUAGGCCGGACGUGGAAGCCCCGCGAGGGGUGGAGCCGACCGGUACUAACGGACGAAAGGCAACACAAUCAUCCAACCCCGGUUGG
RNAcentral lists this ribosomal RNA (3081 nucleotides) under Bifidobacterium breve. RNAcentral's name for it is "23S ribosomal RNA". It matches the Rfam family "Bacterial large subunit ribosomal RNA". The record is from RNAcentral. Lineage: Bacteria; Bacillati; Actinomycetota; Actinomycetes; Bifidobacteriales; Bifidobacteriaceae.